RNAcentral lists this ribosomal RNA (253 nucleotides) under uncultured bacterium. RNAcentral's name for it is "partial 16S ribosomal RNA". It matches the Rfam family "Bacterial small subunit ribosomal RNA", at positions 524 to 776 of the family's 1533-position model. The record is from RNAcentral.
GACGAAGGUGGCGAGCGUUGUUCGGAAUCACUGGGCAUAAAGCGCACGUAGGCGGUGACGUAAGUCGGGUGUGAAAUCCCUCGGCCUGACCGAGGAACUGCGCCCGAUACUGCGUUGCUUGAGGACCAGAGGGGUGCAUGGAAUUUCCGGUGGAGCGGUGAAAUGCGUUGAUAUCGGAAGGAACUCCGGCGGCGAAAGCGAUGCACUGGCUGGUUUCUGACGCUGAGGUGCGAAAGCCAGGGGAGCAAACGGG